GACGAACGCUGGCGGCGGGCUUAACACAUGCAAGUCGAACGGAAAGGUCCGGCUUUGUGGGGGUGCUCGAGUGGCGAACGGGUGAGGAACACGUGAGUAAGCUGCCCUUGACUUUGGGAUAACUUCAGGAAGCUGGGGCUAAUACCGGAUAGGAGCUCCUGCUGCAUGGUGGGGGUGGGAAAGUUUCGGCGGUUGGGGAUGGACUCGCGGCUUAUCAGCUUGUUGGUGGGGUAGUGGCAUACCAAGGCUUUGACGGGUAGCCGGCCUGAGAGGGUGACCGGCCACAUUAGGACUGAGAUACGGCGCAGACCACUACGGGAGGCAGCGGUGGGGAGUAUUGCACAAUGGGCGGAAGCCUGAUGCGGCGACGCCGCGCGCGGGAUGACGGCAAUGGGGUUGUAAACCGCAUUCCCUUGUGACGAAGCGUGAGUGACGGUACCGGGUGAAGAAGCCCCGGCUAACUACGUG
Molecule: ribosomal RNA, 468 nt
Filed under: uncultured bacterium
Lineage: Bacteria
Description: partial 16S ribosomal RNA
Rfam family: Bacterial small subunit ribosomal RNA
Source: RNAcentral